UGGAACGAUGGUGAUGGAUGAUGGAA
RNAcentral lists this non-coding RNA (26 nucleotides) under Rattus norvegicus (Norway rat). The record is from RNAcentral. Lineage: Eukaryota; Metazoa; Chordata; Mammalia; Rodentia; Muridae.